CCAUUCCGAGUCCCACGGACGAACUUCGCCCAUGCCCCCCACCAAGGCUAUAGCCCACCCGUUUUUUGGCCAUUUUUCCGCUGGGGGGUCUUGGGACCCCGACCUUCGGGGGCUGAUUUUUGGGAGCGGCUGUGCCCGUGGCCUAUUUUUGGCACACGGAGGCCGCCCGCCAAGUCUGGUGCCAUUCCGAGUCCCGCGGACGAACUUCGCCCACGCCGCCCACCAAGGCUAUAGCCCACCCGUUUUUUGGCCAUUUUUCCGCUGGGGGAUCUUGGGACCCCGACCUUCGGGGGCUGAUUUUUGGGCGCGGCUGUGCCCGUGGCCUAUUUUUGGCACACGGAGGCCGCCCGCCAAGUCUGGGGCCAUUCCGAGUCCCGUGGACGAACGUCGCCCACGCCCCCCACCAAGGCUAUAGCCCACCCUUUUUUUGGCCAUUUUUCCGCUGGGGGGUCUUGGGACCCCGACCUUCGGGGGCUGAUUUUUGGGCGCCGCUGUGCCCGUGGCCUAUUUUUUGCACAUGGAGGCCGCCCGCCAAGUAUGGUGCCAUUCCGAGUCCCGCGGAUGAACUUCGCCCACGCCCCCCGCCAAGGCUAUAGCCCACCCUUUUUUUUGGCCAUUUUUCCGCUGGGGGGUCUUGGGACCCCGACCUUCGGGGGCUGGUUUUUGGGAGCGGCUGUGCCCGUGCGCAAAUUUUGGCACACGGAGGCCGCCCGCCAAGUCUGGUGCCAUUCCGAGUCCCGCGGACGAACUUCGCCCACGCCCCCCACCUAGGCUAUAGCCCACCCUUUUUUUGGCCAUUUUUCCGCUGGGGGGUCUUGGGACCCCGACCUUCGGGGGCUGAUUUUUGGGAGCGGCUGUGGCCGUGGGCUAUUUUUGGCACACGGAGGCCGCCCGCCAAGUCUGGUGCCAUUCCGAGUCCUGCGGAUGAACUUCGCCCACGCCCCCCACCAAGGCUAUAGCCCACCCUUUUUUUGGCCAUUUUUCCGCUGGGGGGUCUUGGGGCCCCGACCUUCGGGGGCUGAUUUUUGGGAGCGGCUGUGCCCGUGGGCUAUUUUUGGCACACGGAGGCCGCCCGCCAAGUCUGGUGCCAUUCCGAGUCCCGCGGACGAACUUCGCCCACGCCGCCCACCAAGGCUAUAGCCCACCCGUUUUUUGGCCAUUUUUCCGCUGGGGGAUCUUAGGGACCCCGACCUUCGGGGGCUGAUUUUUGGGGCGCGGCUGUGCCCGUGGCCUAUUUUUGGCA
Molecule: long non-coding RNA, 1243 nt
Filed under: Citrus x clementina
Lineage: Eukaryota; Viridiplantae; Streptophyta; Magnoliopsida; Sapindales; Rutaceae
Description: Citrus clementina (C. clementina) long non-coding RNA (CCLE_LNC005883)
Source: RNAcentral